GUCGAGAAUCUUCGGCAAUGGGCGCAAGCCUGACCGAGCGACGCCGCGUGGAGGAUGAAGGCCUUCGGGUUGUAAACUCCUGUCGAGGGGGAAAAAGGGCCGCAAGGCCUUGAUUGAUCCCUGGAGGAAGCACGGGCUAAGUUCGUGCCAGCAGCCGCGGUAAGACGAACCGUGCGAACGUUAUUCGGAAUCAUUGGGCUUAAAGCGCGUGUAGGCGGAUUCGUGCGUCUGUCGCUGAAAUCCCCCGGCUCAACCGGGGAACGGGCGCGGAUACGACGAGUCUGGAGGGGCAUAGGGGGACCUGGAACUUCCGGUGGAGCGGUGAAAUGCGUUGAGAUCGGAAGGAACGCCCGUGGCGAAAGCGAGGUCCUGGAUGCCUACUGACGCUGAGACGCGAAAGCCAGGGGAGCGAACGGGAUUAGAUACCCCAGUAGUCC
Molecule: ribosomal RNA, 437 nt
Filed under: uncultured bacterium
Lineage: Bacteria
Description: bacterial SSU rRNA
Rfam family: Bacterial small subunit ribosomal RNA
Source: RNAcentral